Molecule: ribosomal RNA, 520 nt
Filed under: uncultured Acaulospora
Lineage: Eukaryota; Fungi; Glomeromycota; Glomeromycetes; Diversisporales; Acaulosporaceae
Description: SSU rRNA
Rfam family: Eukaryotic small subunit ribosomal RNA
Source: RNAcentral
AGCAGCCGCGGUAAUUCCAGCUCCAAUAGCGUAUAUUAAAGUUGUUGCAGUUAAAAGCUCGUAGUUGAAUUUCGGGGUUCAUCCGUUGGUCGGGCUUUUUUGGUCUGUACUGGCGUGAUGGAUUCCUACCUUCUGAAUAACCGGCAUGUCAUUAAUUUGGUGCGCCGGGGAAGCAGGACUGUUACCUUGAAAAAAUUAGAGUGCUUAAAGCAGGCUAUCGCCUGAAUACAUUAGCAUGGAAUAAUGAAAUAGGACGGCAUGGUUCUAUUUUGUUGGUUUCUAGGAUCACCGUAAUGAUUAAUAGGGAUAGUUGGGGGCAUUAGUAUUCAAUUGUCAGAGGUGAAAUUCUUGGAUUUAUUGAAGACUAACUUCUGCGAAAGCAUUUGCCAAGGAUGUUUUCAUUAAUCAAGAACGAAAGUUAGGGGAUCGAAGACGAUCAGAUACCGUCGUAGUCUUAACCAUAAACUAUGCCGACUAGGGAUCGGACGAUGUUAAUUUUUUAAUGACUCAUUCGGCGCCU